Long non-coding RNA from Cebus imitator (Panamanian white-faced capuchin), 969 nucleotides. RefSeq lists it as uncharacterized. The record is from RefSeq and is a predicted model, not a curated record. The transcript is spliced from 2 exons. Lineage: Eukaryota; Metazoa; Chordata; Mammalia; Primates; Cebidae.
GAUAUAGGAAAAAAGGAACAAGAGACGAAGAGACAGUGCCCACCCUCAGAGUCAUAAUCCAUUUGUGCAUGUUUGGGAGGAAGACAGAGAAAGAAACUUCCAAAUGCAUUACUGUAUGACAGCAAACCAAGAAGCUGAAUGAAGGAAAUUGCAUCCAUUCUCCAUGAUGGCUGGAGAAGGUGUGGAAGAGGUAAGCCACAUGUGCAUAGAAUCUUUUUGAAGCAUAAACAUUUGGAUACAUCUAAGAUUUGGAACAAUCUUCACCAUGAUCAGGCAAUAGCUUAUAUUGCAGUAUCCCCUACUUUGCCUAACAAUGUAAUGUGUUCACUCUGUUUUACAAUUAAUUUCUAAUGAGUUUACACUUAUAUAUCUUCUUCGUGUCUUAAAGUAAAUUUCAAAUAAAGGGAUGUCAAGCAUCAGAAUAGAGGGGUAGAGGUAUACAUAUAUUCUGUUAUAUAUUGCAAUUAUCUCCCUGAUAUUGAUGUAAGUAAUCACCACCUACCUCUAUUCUGACAUUGCUAUAAAUCACAAACCUUGGCAAAUUUUAUAGCUGCCACCUUUGUCUGCUCCUAUACUCUUAAAUCUAUCCAGUCCACCUAUGCAUGAAGUGGGAGGAAGAAAACCACCACAAACUAAACUUACAUCUCCAGCUUGACAUCAGGAAGUUCCAGACCCCCUCAGUAUCUACUGUAUAGGUUCAUGCUCUGAUCAAGUUCUGCGGCAUAACAAAUUCUUGAGCUCUGAGAGUUCUCUCUCACUUCUAGAAUUCAUCUUGCUGUAGAUUGGCAGUAGAAUUUAACUCCUGCAUCUUAAACAUGCUACUUUUUGCAGGACAUAGUUAGAGCUCACACUCUUUCUCUUCUUUUAGAUAUUUUAGUCAAUCAACUAUCUUCAACAAAUAUGAAGAAUGGCUGUUUUUCAGAUAGCUUCUGCUUAAUUUAGGUUCCCAGAAAUAAAUAUUGAGAUGGA